Molecule: ribosomal RNA, 455 nt
Filed under: uncultured bacterium
Lineage: Bacteria
Description: bacterial SSU rRNA
Rfam family: Bacterial small subunit ribosomal RNA
Source: RNAcentral
GAUGAACGCUAGCGAUAGGCCUAACACAUGCAAGUCGAACGCAUACCGAAGAGUAUGAGUGGCAAACGGGUGAGUAACGCGUGAGAAACCUACCUUACAGCCCGGUCAAAAUCUUUUAGAGAUGAAUCCCGGAUAUUUGAAAAAACAAAGGCAAAGAACCGUUGUAAGAUGAGCUCGCGUAGGAUUAGGUAGUUGGUGAGGUGAGAGCUUAUCCAAGCCGAUGAUCCUUAGCUGGUCUGAGAGGAUGAUCAGCCACACUGGGACUGAGACACGGCCCAGACGCUCUCGAGCGGCAGCAGUGAGGAAUUUUGGACAAUGGGCGAAAGCCUGAUCCAGCUAUAUCGCAUGAAUGAAGAAGGCUCAAUUGGUUGUAAAAUUCAUACUUUCAUUGUAGAUUAUGACACUGAUGGAAAGAAAAGUCCCGGCCAACUCCGUGCCAGCAGCCGCAGUAACAC